Molecule: long non-coding RNA, 792 nt
Filed under: Toxoplasma gondii VEG
Lineage: Eukaryota; Apicomplexa; Conoidasida; Eucoccidiorida; Sarcocystidae
Source: RNAcentral
CUUCAUUUAAGCGAAUUCUGCGAGUAGAUUUCGGCAUCCACACGAGGAAAUUUUCCUCCCAAGCAACUCUGUACGUCCCAGUCCGCCGGGAGGGAAUACCCUACCCCGUUGUCGUCCCAGAAAGACGAACGGCAUUUUCUUUCACCUGCUGUUGAAAGGACUCCUUUGCGAAACCGGGCGUAUGGUAGCUAUGGCCAGAACUAUCGUAGGGGGAGUAGUCUUCUUUGAGACAGAAUUCCUUCGCGGCUUUUUCUGGGCAGCAGGUACUCGUGUCGCACCUCUUGACGUAAAGAAGCGACUACCAAAGAGAAUGUUAGGGUAUUUGUGCAGCUUGUACACUCCACUUGUUGGCGCUUUUUCGAACUAACAUGCGCUGGCGAUCGCUGCAACUCAGGAGAAGACGUUGCCACAGGUGACUGCACCCUCGGGUUGUGUGGGACUUUGUUGAAUCGCGCUCUCUGAGUUUUCCGUCUUGCAGAGUUUGAAAAAAAGAGCUCUUUUACCACGAGAGAAUUAGCCGUAGAGGAUCAAAAGUACGUCUUUUGAGAGUCACCCGGAGGUGCCGCUCCGUGCUCAAAACCUUUUUCUCUCCAUUUCGCUCCGUCCGCCAGGCCUCGAUGCCCCGGUUUCUCGUUGAGAUCUUUGCAGAAACAGCUGAAGAAUGCCUACUCGUAAAAACAGUGGAGGACUUAACACAAGGUUCUGUACAAAAUUCCAGAUUCUCCUUUCGCCAAUUAUGUGUUCUCUGGACGCCACGUCUCCGCCGUGAAACAGAGACUGGCUCAACGGCGC